AUGAUCCUGGCUGUGCCCCCUGAGGAGGUCCCGGAGAGCCCAGAGAGGAAGCCAGAUGACCCUCUCUUCUGUAGGUGUGUGCGUAUGUCGCCCCCCACUUCCCCUCUUUGUGUCCACCAGAUGGUGACUCAGCCGUGGAGCCGAACCCCAGGGAGGAGGUUCCUGACCCGACUGGGCUGGUCCAGGACGAGGUGGACGUGCCCCAAGAUACCCCUAAGUCCAACUGGGGGGGGGGGUUCCCCCAAAGAAUUUUUUGGAAGGGUGCAGUUCGGGGCUCCUCCUGAGGGAAGGGUAGGUGGGGAAACGACGGAGCUGGGUUCUCCGGUUGCCGUUACGGAGUGCGGGCCAGGCAUGGGCCUGGGUCCAUCUCCAGAGGGGCGGUGUGCCAUAGAGCCCCCUGGUAGGCAAGAGGACCCAGCUGGGACAGGCAGAAAGAGGGCCUGCUUGUCCCAACGGACACAGAAGGGGCUAGCUGGAUGGUCUGGCGAAACCCCCACCUUGGCAACAGGGACGUGCAGCGAGAGGGGCUGCAUGUGCCCAGAAGCCACCAGACAGGGGUGCCGCAAACGGUCGCCGGAGGUUCCGGGACCACCUCCUUGCGCAGUGCAGGGAGGGAAGCUGGCCACUCUGCCAGCGGGGACGUGCAGCGAGAGGGGCUGUAUGAUCCCAGAAGGCACCAGACAGGUGUGCUGUAUGAGGUUGCCGGAUGCUCCGGAACCACCUCCCUGCGCGGGGCAGGGAACGACGCAAGAGGCGUCAAAAGGGAUGGGCGGAGACAGGGCCCGCACGUACCCGGAAGGAUCGGCCCUGGUUUAUGUGUGCAGGUUGGAGGAACCGGGGCCACCAUGCCAGACCACGUCGGGGAGCCAGCCCGAGGGACCAGGGCCGCCAUGCCGGACCACGUCAGGGAGUCUGCCAGAGGGUCCGGGUCCUCCAAGGGGAGGACACAGCUGGGCAGGAGCCCUGUGGUUGCUGCCGUUCGCCCCGCCGCCUCCACUGAUGGUAUUGCUGGGGCUCCAAGGACGUAGCCCUUGGAGGGGCGACAUUCUUUGUGAACUUUUGUUUAGUGAACAGGCUGAGGUAUAUUAA
Molecule: long non-coding RNA, 1089 nt
Organism: Denticeps clupeoides (denticle herring)
Lineage: Eukaryota; Metazoa; Chordata; Actinopteri; Clupeiformes; Denticipitidae
Source: Ensembl